RNAcentral lists this ribosomal RNA (473 nucleotides) under uncultured bacterium. RNAcentral's name for it is "SSU rRNA". It matches the Rfam family "Bacterial small subunit ribosomal RNA", at positions 26 to 518 of the family's 1533-position model. The record is from RNAcentral.
AGGACGAACGCUGGCGGCGUGCUUAACACAUGCAAGUCGAGCGGAAAGGCCCUUCGGGGUACUCGAGCGGCGAACGGGUGAGUAACACGUGAGCAACCUGCCCUUAGCUCUGGGAUAGCUCCGGGAAACCGGAAUUAAUACCGGAUAUGACCUAGGCCGACAUCGGCCGUGGUGGAAAGUUUUUCGGCUAGGGAUGGACUCGCGGCCUAUCAGCUAGUUGGUGGGGUAAUGGCCUACCAAGGCGACGACGGGUAGCCGGCCUGAGAGGGCGACCGGCCACACUGGGACUGAGACACGGCCCAGACUCCUACGGGAGGCAGCAGUGGGGAAUCUUGCGCAAUGGGCGAAAGCCUGACGCAGCGACGCCGCGUGUGGGAUGAAGGCCUUCGGGUUGUAAACCCUUUCGGCAGGGACGAAGCGAAAGUGACGGUACCUGCAGAAGAAGCGCCGGCUAACUACGUGCCAGCAGCCGC